GCACUCAGCAUUGACAGCCUGCCGUGUUGGUACCCCGGACCUGCUGCGUGCUGCCGGCUUCUGGUAUACCCAGCCUCUCAAGCCAUUCUAAACAGCUGUUGAGCCUCUUGAAAUACCAUGUUCACCGGCGUAUACUGUCCCUCCCAGCCCUCCUCCUUCUGGUUCUGCUCUACAGGAAGUCACUAUCGGUGGCAUGGCUGACACCGCUCUCUCCUUGACAUUCCACCCUCCCCUGGUGAGUGAGCCCCCAGGGUCCCAUGGCUGGCCCUCUGGUCUGCUCAUCCUAUCACUGCUGCCUGCAUGACCUUUCCGUCCCCAUGUCUUCAGCCUCCACACACUGUAUACACCAAGGAUCCUUUUUCCUGAAAGUUCUCCUGCCUACCAGAAACUCCUUUUGAGUGUCCCACAGGUGCUCCCUCAACAUAGCCCCAAACUGAGUUCCUUUUUCUCAUUCCCUGUAAAACUCCCUCUAUUCCCUGCCGGGGUGAGUGGCACUGUCGUUCAUGCAGCUGUCCAAGCCACAGGCUUGAAUUUCUUAAGUCAUUCCCACCCUUACCGGGGUGAUGGCUUCAAAGAUCCUUUACUGCCCCCAGCCCCGCACCCCCCGCUCUCUGCUUUGCUGCCGCAGUUCAGGCUUCAGUCCAUUCUUGGCUGCCCUGAGGCUACAGUCCACUAACUGGAUUCUGUCUUUACUUCUGCAUCUCUUCAAUCCAACCUCCAUGUUUCUGACAAUCUCUCUAAAACCAAAACCUACACAUGUGGCUCCCCUUCUUAAAACCCUCAAUGACUUCCUAUUAUUUGGAAAAAAAAAAUCCAAACUUCUUUUGCAUGGUUUUCAAGGGCUCUUGUCAUCUGACUCUCCCGUGCCUCUUCAGUUUCAUCUUUUUCUCCUCUCCAUGUCCCCUGGAUUUCAGCCACAAGCAGAGUCCUUUAAUUCUUCUCUGACACAUCAUACCUCUCCCUCUCUUUUGAUCUCUGUGCACCUAAAGGGUCCUUUUGCAGCUAAUGGCCCAACACUGCCCACUCCCUGUUUCAUGGCUGAACUUCCUUGUGCCUCAUCCUCUGAUAAACUGAGGCACAGAGAGAUUCAGGAGCACACUCAGUCCUCACUGGUGAGCAGUGGUCUUUCUCACUGAGGACACUGAGCUGUUGGGAGUUUUCCAAUGUUGGCUGGUUUGUUUGACGAUGACUUACCAGAGAAAUAGAAGGGGUUGGAGUGUCUGGUCUGGUGCUUAUCAGGAUUCUUUAUGAAUAAAAAAGGAAGGGGAGUUUCCAUUGUGGCACAGUGGAAACGAAUCCGACUGGCACCCAUGAGGAUGCAGGUUCAAUCCCUGGCCUCGCUCAGUGGGUUAAGAAUCCAGCAUUGCUGGUGAGCUGUGGUGUAGGUCACAGACACAACUCUAAUGUGGUGUUGCUGUGGCUGAAGCGUAGGUGACAGCUGCAGCUCCGAUUAGACCCCUAGCCUGGGAACUUCCAUACGCUGAGCAUGCGGCCCUAAAAAAGCAACAACAACAACAAAAAAAAAAAAAAAAA
Molecule: long non-coding RNA, 1533 nt
Filed under: Sus scrofa (pig)
Lineage: Eukaryota; Metazoa; Chordata; Mammalia; Artiodactyla; Suidae
Description: lncRNA (ENSSSCG00005012654.1)
Source: RNAcentral